UUUUUUUUUCUUUUUCUUUUAGGAUAUUGCCCUAGUAUCUGUUUGUUUGUUGAGAAAUUGACAAGUAAAUGUUUCAAUUUGAAGUAAUUUUUCAUUAUUUGGGACCAAGAAAGCAGAAAUCUUCAUUCUGCAUGGUUAAUGAAAGUUGCAUUUGUUGUUCUGGUUUUCUUAGUUUGGUCUUUAAGCAUAAUAUCUUAUAAAACGUUUCAUAAAACGUAAUCAUUAAAUCAUGCUUUUCAUGUAUGCAAUUCUACUAUUAAAACAUGCAUCUUAGAAGGGAUCCACUCACAGAUACUUCACCGUCGAAAAGCCACGCAAACUAGCAAAGACAGAAACAUCAUGAUAAAUGCACCUAAGCACAUAAAGGGUCCAAUUCAUAAAAUUAUAUUCAAACGAUUGAAUUUGGGAAAACAAACAUCAAAAACGGAUUCUGACACUGGAGGGCAGGUAUUGCUUACAUUUGACUAUUUAACAUCCAAUUGUUUGUUUUGGGUUCUUCCUUUCCUACAUCUUUAUAUAUGUCUGCUAGAAUAUCAAUAGGUCCAAUAGUUCACGAAUCUUCUCGUCCUAAACCCAUGAAAAUGUUUUAUCUUUUAUAGAAAACUUUGUGUGACCGCCGUAUGCCACUGAAGCUCAAGGGAAAAUUUUAUAGGACGGCAAUAAGGCCGGCGAUGCUGUAUGGCACAGAAUGUUGGGCGGUGAAGCAUCAACACGUACACAAAAUAGGUGUAGCGGAGAUGAGGAUGCUUCGUUGGAUGUGUGGGCACACGAGAAAGGAUAAGAUUAGGAAUGAGGAUAUCCGGGGUAAAGUAGGAGUAGCCGAAAUUGAAGGAAAGAUGAGAGAAAAUCGGUUACGGUGGUUUGGACAUGUGCAAAGAAGGCCUACUGACGUUCCGAUUAGAAGAUGCGACUAUGGGACAGAGGUUCAGGGCCGAAGGGGUAGAGGAAGACCCAGGAAAACUUUGAGAGAGACCCUAAGAAAAGACUUAGAGUACUUGGAUCUAACGGAGGACAUGACACAGGACAGAACACAAUGGCGUUCUAAGAUUCAUAUAGCCGAUCCCACUCAGUGACUUGGAUUUUCCAAGUCUCCAACCGAGAAGUUGUCCUCGCUCGGGAAAUUAAGGGAACACUACCUCAACCUACAUGCUCCACUCACAAAGCUCCAACAUACAAGCUUCAACAAAAGAAAAUUCAAAGAACUUAGCGAAGAAGGCUUUGGUGAUUUAACACAAUACGUUGAAAUGAAGGAAAGCUUAUUUAUUGAUAUCCCCGAUAAAUUACAAAUAUGUACAUAUACUUGAGUCAAAAUAAACAAACAAGAGGGAGCCUUCACAAAGGUUGCUUAGGAGAAGUCUCAGCAGUCGGUAGAGCCCCAGAAAGAGAAGGCACCGGAGGGGGAUCAUUCGGAGCCUCAGUACUGGACAGAACCCUAGAAGGAGGAGGCAUCAGAGGUUGAUCAUUUGGAGUUUUAUUACGCGGUACAGCCCCAGAAGACGAAGGCAAUAAAUGCCUUUGGAACAAACCCACAAAUCUCUUGAUGAUCAAGUAAAACCUGACCAUCAGAUUCCUUCAUCUGGUCAAGCUUCCUCUUCAUGUUUGUAGCAUAGUCAUGUGCGAGCCGGUGCAACUGUUUAUUCUCAUGCUUGAGCCCUCUAAUCUCCUGUUUGAGACUCAUCACUUCAGCCGCCAAUGAUUCAACUUGGCGGGUUCGAGCAAAUAGGCGUUGGGCCAUAUUAGACACAGAACCUGCACACUGAACACUAAGAGCCAGAGAAUCCUUAACAGCCAACUCAUCAGACCGUUUGGAAAGUAGUCUGUUAUCUUUGGGAGUGAGAAGGUUCCUGGCCACUACCGCAGCGGUCAUAUCAUUCUUCAUCACGGAAUCCCCAACGGUAAGAGGACCAGUAGGGGAGACGAAGGAUGGGCGCCAUAUGUUGUCUGGAGAAGGCGGGGCUGCCUCUUCAACAAGGUUCAAGUCAAAACGACGGUCGGAGGGGCCAGACAUUUUCAAAGGUGUAGAAGAGAGAAGAGGUUAGACAAAUCAAGAUCUUAGAAGUGCAAGAAUGGAGCUUCUACUGGUGGAUAUUCAAGUGUGCUUUGGAACUUAAUGUCAGCCUCUAUAAAAAUCUGCACUCGACGAAGCUUCAGAAAUCGAAGAGGCGUUUGCUUUCUCAAAAGCUGGGCUGCUCAGCGACCACGAGGGUCGAUCUCAGAAAUCGAAGAGGCGUUUGCUUUCUCAAAAGUUGGGCUGCUCAAAGACCACGAAGGCUGAUCUCAGAAAUCGAAGAGGUUUGCUUUCUCAAAAGCUGGGCUGCUCAGAGACCACGAGGGCCGAUCUCAGAAAUCGAAGAGGUUUGCUUUCUCAAAAGCUGGGCUGCUCAGAGACCACGAGGGCCGAUCUCAGAAAUCGAAGAGGUUUGCUUUCUCAAAAGCUGGGCUGCUCAGAGACCACGAGGGUCGAUCUCAGAAAUCGAAGAGGCACCUACUUUUCCAGCCUUGUCAGCACCUGUCACACGCACACUCAGCUUUGCGGAAAUUAUGGGCAUUCUGUCGAAGAUUUCUGGCGAAGUAGAAAGCACAUGAAUCGUACUGUUCAAUCACCCACUUCCCACACGCAACAGUAGCUCAUGGGUACCACAUAUAACUUUGCCAAAGUUCUCUGACAAAGUUGAGACUACUUUUCCAGCCUUGUCAGCACCUGUCACACGCACACUCAGCUUUGCGGAAAUUAUGGGCAUUCUGUCGAAGAUUUCUGGCGAAGUAGAAAGCACAUGAAUCGUACUGUUCAAUCACCCACUUCCCACACGCAACAGUAGCUCAUGGAUACCACAUAUAACUUUGCCAAAGUUCUCUGACAAAGUCGAGACACGUGAAGCUUGCAACUCUCACUACAUCGCUCUGACCAAGAAGGGUAAAAGAAUAGCAAAGAAACAACACUAACAAAGUUUAGACACAUAAAUUUUGACGGCCUAGCUACCAUAUUAUUACCCACAAGGGUAAAGGAACAGUACCACUGCUGGAUAAUUGGAAAGUCCCGGUGUGUCAACCUUUGUGCUUCAUGGCAAGGUAGACUAGCAAACAUGCCCAACCUUUACUCACAUUCGAGAAAACACUCCCAACAAGAUUGCUUGCCCCAAAAUCGAAGAGGCAUCGCCCUCCGAAUCUCGAGAGCCAGACUCUUCCAACAUGAUUACUUUCUCAAAAAUCGAAGAGAGGGUAAAGGAACAGUACCACUGCUGGAUAAUUUGUAAGUCCCUGUGUGUCAUCCUCUGUGCUUCGUGACAAGGUAGACUAGCAAACAUGCCCAACCUUUACUCACAUUCGAGAAAACACCCCCAACAAGAUUGCUUGCUCCAAAAUCGAAGAGGCACCGCCCUCCGAAUCUCGAGAGCCAGACUCCUAACAUGAUUACUUUCUCAAAAAUCGAAGAGAGGGUAAAGGAACAGUACCACUGCUGGAUAAUUGGAAAGUCCCUGUGUGUCAACCUCUGUGCUUCGUGGCAAGGUAGACUAGCAAACAUGCCCAACCUUUACUCAUAUUCGAGAAAACACUCCCAUCUCCCAACAUCAUUACUUUCUCAAAAAUCGAAGACACCGCUCUCCGAAUCUCGAGAGCCAGACCCCCAGCAUGAUUGCUUUCUCAAAAAUCGAAGAGGCAUCGUUCUCCGAAUCUCGAGAGCCAGAUCCCCGACAGGAUUGCUUGUUCGAAAACCGAAGAGGCACCACUUUCCCAACUUCAAGAGCCGGAUCUCCUUGGAUAAAGCUUGUCUGUAAUCUUUACACGCAACAUCAGCUUUCCAGAUACCACAGACCACUUUUUCAAAGUGCUCUGACAGAGUUAAAACUUGUGAAGCUGGCAGCUCCCACUACCGUGCUAUGACCAAGCAGGGUAAAGGAAUAGCAUUAUUACUUGAUGUUAGGGAGACUCCUAUAUAUGUCGACCUCCAUCCCCAACGGACAGGCAGACCUGCAAAAAUGCUCAACCCUUCCUCUUAUCUGAGAGGGCACUCCCAACGAAGCCUUUCGAAAUAUUCAGCUUUCUUUCCCCCCGAUAAUACCUCUGUAAACAAGCUAUACUAGAGCAAGAAUAUCUCAUAUCAUCAGGGUUAAAAGCAAGAGUAUCCCAUAUCAUGCUUUUUCCCUGUCUUUUCCUUUGGCCUUGUUCUUACCUGCAAGACAAGGAGAAAGAGAGCAAUCAGUCAGCACUUGGAAUCAAGCUUCCAGCCAGGAACUGACUGCCUGGAACCCCUUACCCUGGCAUUGCUCUCGAGUACUCAUCUUCAACAUCUUAUGCUUCCAGGGAAGAUACCGCAUCUGCCUGGGGAACAGAUAGGGCAAGUGAGAAGGAUACAAGGAAGCAUAUGGAGACAAGCGUAACAGCACACGUGCCGAUACAUCCACUACUCUGUCAAAAGCAAAAGUAUCCCAUAUCAGCAGGGUCGAACGUACUCUAGAUUUGAUGGACUUGUUUUGAUCCUCAAAUUCUUCAGUCGGCCUUAUACUUUGGAGGAAACCAGAAAACCUUCCAGCCCAGUUCAAGAAUAAGCCUGUGGAAAGUUACUUCUUCAAAAGCAAAAAGUAUCCCAUAUCAUCUCUUCUCAUUUUUCUUCUCUUUAUCCUUCAUGCUGCCUGCAAGAUAGGGAGAAUGUGAACAAUCAGCCGGAGCUCUGAUUGCUUACCUUGUCUGUUACCUCUUUCAGCAGAUCCCCUAGCUCGGCGACUUGGGGGACUCCUACUACAUGGUUUGUAUCGCGCUUGACCAAGCCUGAAACUACAAGUAAGCUUCAAGUGACAUUGAUACAUUACCUUGUGCAUCUCCACCAGUUACAGAUACCACCCCUGGAUGGAGGAAGAGUACUUCCAGAGAAGAUUCCACAUCUACCUAUGAGACAGAUAAGGAAAGUCAAGCCGAUACCACACUCCAGGACUUAGAAGUUUCGUGGUUACGAGAUCAUUCUCCCACAAUAUUUCCUAAUGUCAUUUGUACUAAAUCAUUCACUUGUACUCCCUAAAGGAGAGCUUGAACCUAUGUACUUGUGUAAACCCUUCACAAUUAAUGAGAACUCCUCUAUUCCGUGGAUGUAGCCAAUCUGGGUGAAUCACGUACAUCUUGUGUUUGCUUUCCUAUCUCUAUCCAUUUAUAUACUUAUCCACACUAAUGACCGGAGCAAUCUAGCGAAGAUCACAAAAAGUGACCGUUUUCGCUACCUAGGAUCUAUCUUGCAAGAGAACGGAGAAUUAGAUGGAGAUCUCAACCAAGAAUACAAGCUGGAUGGAUGAAGUGUAAGAGUGUAUCCGGCGUGUUGUGUGAUCGUCGUAGGCCACUUAAGCUCAAGGGAAAAUUUUAUAGGACGGCAAUAAGGCCAACGAUGUUGUAUGGUACAGAAUGUUGGGCGGUGAAGCAUCAACACGUACACAAAAUGGGUGUAGCGGAGAUGAGGAUGCUUCGUGGGAUGUAUGGGCACACGAGAAAUGAUAAGAUUGGGAAUGAGGAUAUCCAAGGUAAAGUAGGAGUAGCCAAAAUUGAAGGAAAUAUGAGAGAAAAUCGGUUCCGGUGGUUUGGACAUGUGCAAAGAAGGCCUACUGACGCUCCGGUUCGAAAAUGUGACUACGGGACAGAAGUUCAGGGCCGAAGGGGUAGAGGAAGACCUAGGAAAACUUUGGAAGAGACCCUAAGAAAAGACUUGAUUACUUGGAUCUAACGGAGGACAUGACACAAAACCGAGCGCAACGGCGUUCUAGGAUUCAUAUAGCCGACCCCACUUAGUGGGAAAAGGCUUUGUUGUUGUUGUGUUGUUGUUGUUGUUUGGUCUUUGCUUGUUAUCUAGGAAGCAAUUGUUCUGGCUCCUUUCGUGGCUUUUGCACUUAGGCCUGGUGUUUGGGAGUAUGUUCGAGUUAAUGCGUAUGAACUCAGUGUGGAUCAUUUAAGUGUUGCUGAAUAUCUUCGGUUCAAGGAAGAGCUUAUGGACGGAGAGUAAGGGCUCUCCUGUCUUAAUCCUUGUUACUGAAUUUUGUAAUUUAUGCCGAGUCUUUCAACUUACUUAUCUGGAGUAGCAUUACAUGAAUGCAGUCUUAAAAUGAAAUCAUUGUCCUAGGUGCAACGAUAAGUAUGUGCUUGAACUUGAUCUGGAGCCCUUUAAUGCAUAAUUCCCUCGACCAACCCGCUCGUCGUCAAUUGGAAAUGGGGUUCAAUUCCUUAACCGUCACUUAUCUUCAGUUAUGUUCCGUAGCAAAGAAAGUUUGGAGCCUCUUCUCGAUUUUCUUCGUACACACAAACAUGAUGGACAUGUAAGUUUGAGUUUGCUAUGGGCUUUGCAUGAAUGAACAUUCCACUUUUUCAGUUAUCAUGCUAAUUCUUUUGGCCCCUUGGUUUAUUUUACUGGUCGUCUUUUCUUUGCAUUCAGAUUUAGUGUAAGACCUAAAGCCAUAUUUGAAGUAAUAUGACAAUAAGGUUGUGAAAUACUCGUACCUUUGGACUGAAUAAUAUUAGUUCUAAAAUUUUGUGCAGGCAAUGAUGCUAAACGAUCGGAUUCAGAGCAUACCCAGACUUCAGUCUGCUUUAGCAAAGGCAGAGGAAUAUCUUUCUAAGUUCCCUCCAACUACACCAUAUUCUGAAUUUGAAUUUGAGUAGGCGAAUCAUCUAAUUUCAACACUUUGAUCUCCACUCCUAUAGAGGAAUAAUAUGAUUGCUUUAGCCGGUACCUUUAAUCUUUAUAUUUUGUGCAGCUUACAAGGAAUGGGAUUUGAGAGAGGGUGCGGUGACACAGCACAACGGGUGUCAUAGAUGGUGCAUCUUCUCUUGGAAAUUCUUCAGGCUCCUGAUCCCUCUACCCUGGAAAAUUUUCUUGGGAGGAUCCCUAUGGUGUUCAAUGUUGUCAUAGUGUCGCCACACGGCUACUUUGGCCAAGCUAACGUCUUGGGUUUGCCUGACACUGGAGGGCAGGUAUUGCUUACAUUUGACUAUUUAACAUCCAAUUGUUUGUUUUGGGUUCUUCCUUUCCUACAUCUUUAUAUAUGUCUGCUAGAAUAUCAAUAGGUCCAAUAGUUCACGAAUCUUCUCGUCCUAAACCCAUGAAAAUGUUUUAUCUUUUAUAGAAAACUUCAUUUUAAUCCCUAAAUAAGAUUGCUUUUUCAAUAAUACCGUAUGUAAGAUUAAAAACUAAAAAUAGUCCUCCAUGUUAGAUUAUAGUAUUCCAUGUCACAUUUAAUCAUUUUUUAAUAAAUUUAUUGCAUUUUUAGUUUCCCUAUAUACCCUUAUUACUCUCUUAAAACCAAUUAGAGAAACAGAUAUAUAAUUAAUUUUUCAAGAAUGCUUAAUUAACUAGAUCCAUAAUUAACAUGUUUGUUAUAACAUAAAUCUCCAUGUGUUAUUCCAAUCAAAGAACCCAGAAAACUUAGAAACCAUGAUCAAACAAAAAAAACCAUAAAACUUACAAACCAAAAAUCUCAUUGUAUUCGGAAGAAAGAAGAAAAAAUGGUCUUUUAGAUGCCAAAUUGACGGUGAAUCCAGAGAUAAAUGAAAAGAAAAUACAAAUUGAGAAAAUAGAAUGUGAAAUCACAACUUAAUUGACCGUACCAAAUUAAUCGGACAUACACUAUAUAGUACCUAACCGACCAUACCAAAUGGAUAAGACCUAAUUGAUAGUACCUAAAUGAUUAAGGUGCAUUCAUAUAGGUACUAUGGUUUAGGUGCAUUCAUAUAGGUACCAUGAUUUAUGUGCAUUCAUAUAGGUACCAUGGUUUAGGUGCAUUCAUAUAAGUACCAUGGUUUAGGUGCAUUUGACUUGGUACUAUGAUUUAUGUGCAUUCGACUAGGUUAGAUGAUUUAAGCACAUUAGGACAUGGUUUAAGUGCAUUCGAUUAUGUAAAAUAUAUGAUUUGGCUAUUUAUAUUUCCUCUAUGCUUUGAAUGGUGAUAAUGAAUAAUUUGAAUUAGGUAUUUGUUAAUUCUUGUAACGUAUCACUAAUAUUUUUUUGAAUUAUGUUUAUCAUUUUAGAAAGUCAAACAAUAAUCAAUGCCAAAAAAUAUGGAGCAAAUUAAAAUCAAAUAUUUAAUAGGGGCAUUAUAAGAACCAAAAAAACGCAUUAAAUAUUUAAAAACAAGAAAAUAUAAAUUUUAAUAUUUAUGCUCACAUGGAAAUUUAGUCAAAGGACAAUAAUGAAUAUAUAAUCUAACAUAAGGUUUUAAUUGAAUUUCAAUCUUUAUCAAGGAUUAAAAUGGAGAAACCCCUAUCUUUUAUUACUGAUGGCAGGUUGUUUAUAUACUGGAUCAAGUGCGUGCCCUGGAGAGUGAGAUGCUUCUUAGAAUACAAAAUCAAGGAUUGGAUGUUAUUCCAGAAAUUCUGAUUGUAAGUUUGCUUAACUGAAAGUUCAUGCUAUAUUAGUUGACAUAAGGUGUUGUGUAUAUUUUAUACUGUGUCCUGUCCUUUUACUUGAUGAUGGUAGGUUACCCGACUGAUACCGGAUGCAAAAGGGACAACAUGCAACCGAAGAUUAGAAGGAGUCAGUGGUACAGAAUACACAUAUCUUACGGGUACCUUUCAGGACUGAGAAUGAGAUACUGCGGAAAUGGAUUUCAAGGUUUGAUGUGUGGCCUUACUUGGAGACCUUUGCAGAGGUAAGCAGUUAAAAGGAUAUAACUUGUUUUCUUUUUCUUUUUGGGUGUGCUCUUUUUUAAUCUCCCCUUAUUUCUUUUUCUGUCCCCUUUUUUACUGCCUGACUACUUCACUUUUAUGAUGCACACUGUUGGGUUCUGAAUAACUACUUACGGGUUAUACAACAUACUCUUUUUCUCUUAUUGUGUUAUUUCUAGGAUGCCUCGAAUGAAAUUGCCACUGAGUUGCAGCGUGUUCCAGAUCUAAUCAUUGGAAACUAUAGUGAUGGAAAUCUUGUUGCAACUCUGUUGUCGUAUAAACUGGGAAUCACACAGGUGAAUUUUAGUUUUUAAUUCAUUAUUUCAGAUGCAACACAGAGAUUGGUGGAAUAACGGUGGGCUUAUAUUGGAGUUAACUUGUCAAAACUGAAUUCUCCAUGUAGUGCAAUAUUGCUCAUGCAUUGGAGAAAACAAAAUACCCAGAUUCUGAUAUAUUUUAUUGAGUUGUUCACGGGAUUGAUGUUUUUGAUCCCAAGUUUAAUAUCGUCUCCCCAGGAGCAGAUAUGUGUAUAUACUUUCCAUAUUCUGACAAGGAAAAAAGGCUUACUGCUCUACAUGGGUCAAAUUGAAGAACUCUUAGGCCAUCUCUAACCGAAAGGUUCAGAGGGCCAGAGGGCCGAAAAUAGCCCUAAAACCGUCUCCAACCGAGGGCUAGGCCAGAGGGCUCUGGAAUCUGGGAGGGUCCCACGGGAUCGGAGAGGGCUGGAGGGCUGGAGGGCUGGCUGCUUUCGGCCAGCCAGCCAGCCCCAAGCUGGCUAUUUUUUUUUUUAAUGUUUUCCUAUUGCUGUCGGUUAUAACCGACAGCAUUAAAGAGAUUCUUUUUUUAAUAGUUUUACUAUUAGUGUCGGUUAUAACCGACACUAAUAGUUUGAAAUUUUUUUGAAUAUAACGGCUAGCUGACUCAGCUAGCCGUUGGGUUUUUUUAUUUUUUUUUAUUUUAAACAUUUCUUUUCUUCUAUAAAUAUGGUGAAGUUCUUUCAAUUCUUCACUUCAUUUGCAAUAUUUCCUUCUUCAAUAUUUUUCAAUAUUUCCUUCAAUAUAUUUCUCAAUAUUUCCUUCAAUAUUUCCUUCAAUAUAUUUUCCAAUAUUUCCUUCAUCUAUAAUAUUUGUUUCAAUUUUUCAAUAUUUCCUUCAUCUAUAAUAUUUCUUCACUUCAUUUGCAAUAUUUCCUUCAAUAUUUCCUUCAUUUUUUUUCAAAAAAAAUGGCCUCAUCUGCAAUGAAAGGUAGGGCUUGGACCCGAAAAGAAGAUGAAGCUCUUUGCAAGGCUUAUAGAUGGAUCUCAGAAGAUAGUGUGAGGGGGAUUUCUCAAACAAGUGAAGGUGUUUGGACUCGUGUGUCCAAAAAAUACUUAGAGUUCUACGAAGGCACCAUUCCACCGAAUACCCGAAACCACGAAAGUUGUUCUUCAAGAUGGAAGAAACAUCUUCAUCCAAGUUUGAAUAAAUGGCAUCAAGCACUAUUAGCAGCAGCAAGUAGACAUGAAAGCGGCGCCAAUUACUAUGACGAAGUUAGUGUUUUUACAGUUUAUUUUAAAUGUUUAAUUAUAUUACAUUUAAUUUCGUGAAUUAAUUUCCUAAAAUUUUUUUAAUUAUAUUUUCUAGGUACGCCAAGCGGAGGAACUCUAUAUGGAGGGCAGCUCAAAACCCUUUCAAUUUCAUGGUUGUUGGGAAAUUUGUAAAGGGUGGGUGUUAUUUGAAGAUCCACCUCAACAUAGAGUGGAUCCUUUGGAAGCUGCAUCGCCAUCUGUAGAUAUGAAUGAAGAUGGAUCUCCUACCAUUCAACAAACAAGGGUAGAAAAUCCGACUCCGUCCCAAAAGUUCUUUACCUAGGGCUAUGGGACGAAACAAGGCUCGAAGGUUGAGGGAAAAGGGCAAGGCAAAUGCUGAUUACGCCGCUCAACAUGAAGUGGCGGCCUCAUUUCGAUUACUGGUGGAGCAAAAUGCCCUUGAGGCAGAAGAAAGGAAGUGUAGACAUGAAGAACGAGCCAAACAAAUACAAGAAGAGAUGGAUGAUAAGAAUAUGGAAAGGAACACUUCGAAUUACACUCCAAUGAGUAAGGCCUAUUUUGAUAGGAAAAAAAAAGAAAUUAUGUCUCGGCGGCAAUUGUUUACCUCUGACUAUACUCCUACAAUGGCGGAUGAUGAAGAUGAUAUUGAUUAUGGAUAUUAAAUUUAAGUCGUUGUAAUUUUUAAAUUUAAGUUAAUGUUGUUUUUAAAUUUAAUUUGUAGUUUUUAAAUUUAAUUUGUAGUGUUUAAAUAUAAGUUGUUGUUUUUAAAUUUAAGUUGUUGUAGUUUUUAAAUUUAAAUAAUAAAUUAUGUUUGGCCCUAUGGCCCUUUGGCCCUCGGUUGGAGACGGUUUUUUGUGACAGGGCUAAAACGAGCCCUUUGGCCCUCUGGCCCUCGGUUGGAGACGGAGGCAAAUAUGGCCCUGUACUGUUCAUUAAAAUAUUAAUAUCUUGGGGAAUCUUGGAGGGCCAGAGGGCUCAAACGAGCCCUCUGGCCAGCCCUCGAUUAGAAAUGGCCUUAUAUGGUGCUGAGCAGAACGACGAGCAUAUGUGAGUAUCUUCUAAUGUUAAGUAAAGAACUUCUGAAAAACAAUUUAAGGCCAUCUCCAACUGAUGGCCGGCCAGAUAGCUCGUUUUAGCUCUCUAGCCCUCCAAGAUUCUCCAAGAUAUUAAUAUUUUAAUGAACAGUACUGGGCCAUAUUUGCCUCCGUCUCCAACCGAGGGUCAGAGGGCCAGAGGGCUCGUUUUAGCCCUUUCACAAAAAACCGUCUCCAACCGAGGGCCAAAGGGCCAUAGGGCCAAACAUAAUUUAUUAUUCAAAAACUAAAACUUAAAUUCAAAUCCAACGGAGUAGGAGUAGGCAUUUACGUUUUAUGUUUUUAAAUGUUUUUAAAAAUGUUGUUUAAGUUUCAUGUUGUAUAAUUUUUAUGUUGGUUAAUGUUAUUUAAUGUUGUUUCAUAUUGUUUAAUGUUGUUUCAUGUUACUUAAUUUAAUUUAAUGUUGUAUAAUGGCUUAGGAAGUUAUAGGAAAAAAAAUAGAAUUUAAAAAAAAUAUGAAACAAAUUUUGUGAAAUAGAAGUUAUAGGAAAAAAAUGGAAUUUUAAAAAGGCUUUUUAUAUUAACACCCUACAAAAUGUUGAAUGCACCCCACAUUAAAAUUUAAUAUUAAUGACUUAUUUACUCUAUUAUGCAAUGACAAUUUUGACCUUAUUAGGUUUAAAAAAUAAUAAAAAAAUUUAUAAAUACACCCCAAAUCACUUUUAACGUAUUAUUUAUGUACUUCAACUAUCAAAACCCCUCUCACCCUCCAUUGUUGAAUAAAACCCUAAGCAAUGAAACUACAAACAUGUUGAUUGAAAAAAAUUAUUUUUGACAAAUGGAACGCGAAAUCGGUGUUUCGAAAACUUUGAAAUCAUUAUUAUUGUUAUUGAAAAACGUUCAAAUGAACCUAAAUUUUUUUUCAAAUCAUUCAAUUUGAAAUAAUUCAGCAAACUAGCGUUCAAAUGGUUUGAAAUCAUUCGGCAAAAUAAAAAAUGAGUGUUAUAAGAUUUGAGAAAUGUGGGGUGUAUAAAAAUGUGAGGUGUGUGUAGAAAAUGUAAGGUGUGUAUUAAGAAUGUGGGGUGUGAGGGUAUUAUGGAGAAGGAAGUAGGGUGUAUUAAGAUAAUUUUUAAUUGAAAAAGUAAAUGUGAGGUGUAUUAAGUAUGUGGGGUUUAUUCAACAAGUUGUGGGGUGCUAAUAUAAUAAGCCUUUAAAAAAAAUAUGAAACAAAUUUUGUGAAAUAGAAGUUAUAGGAAAAAAUAGAAGUUAUAUGAAAAAUUUUGUAAAUAAAAAAUAAUAAUAAAAUUGUAAAAAAAAAAAACAAAACAAAACAAAUGCAACGGCUAGCCGUUGCAUUUGAAUUUUUUCUUAAGAAAUCCUGUCGGUUAUAACCGACAGGAUUAACAAAACAUUAAAAAAAAAAUAGCCAGCCAUGCAGCCAGCCCUCCAGCCCUCUCCGAUUCUAUGGGUCUCUCCCAGAUUCCAGAGCCCUCUAGCCUAGCACUCGGUUGGAGACGGUUUUCGGGCUAUUUUCGGCCCUCUGGCCCUCUGGACCCUUCAGUUGGAGAUGACCUAAGCCUCUUUUGAGUGGCGUUGAGAUUUUAUAGAUAUCAAGGUUGCAACUUACAUGUACUUCAUUUUCAACACUCAAUCGUCUGAUACUCAUUUGAUGGUGAUGCAGUGGGCUGUUGAGUGAUAGAUCAAAGCCUAUUGUCUUUUCCAUGGCAAGACUUGACAGAGUGAAAAUUUUAACUGGACUUGUUGAGUGCUAUGCUAAGAGCGCCAAGCUAAGAGAAAUGAUAAACCUUGUUGUGGUUGGUGGUUACAUGGAUGUCAAGAACUCUAGGGAUAGAGAAGAAAUUGCAGAGAUUGAAAAGAUGCAUGACCUCAUUAAGAAAUACAACAUGAGUGGUCAGUUCCAAUGGAUAGCAGCACAAAUGAACCGUGCUCGUAAUGGUGAGCUCUUCUCGAGAUAGUCAGUAUGCAGUACGUCAUGUAUAUGUAUUCGGAUGAAGUUCAUUGCGAUUGUUUUAUCAUCUUCACCAACCCGGUUAUAUGUUUAAGCUUUAAGGGUGGCCCUUAGACUCUUUGCAGUGAGGUGGAGCUUCACGUCUUAAACCCACUUCAGGUAGUUGCUUCCAGAUACUUCCAGAGCGGUAAAGUCAAGUUUGUUAAGGUUCAACAUGUUGUUGCAAUGGAGUGAUCAAGAUCAUAGACAUUAUUAUAGGAUAAACGUCCAUAGUCAAAAGUAGAACAUUUAGAUUCUCUAGACAUGUUUUGGCUUAAAUUAAGCAUGAAAAACUUUGAGUUUCAUGAAAAAACUUCAAGUCUAAAAAUAAAUUAUUGUUUUAAUCGGCUGGGUUACAAGACAGGUAGUGGAAGUAGGUAAGUGGACAGUUCACAUGCUGGAAACCCAAAGUUUUCUGAUAUGUGUGUUUCGACUGUAGGUCAAGUUUCAAAGCUCGAACCCUUGCAAGAUUCUUCUGGAAUCUUAUGUUUUCAUGAUGAAAACAUUUCCUCAAAGAUUCAAUUCACCACAAUUACAACAGUAGUAUUAUAAUAUAAUUGCGAACAGUAAUUUAAGUAGAAUAUACAAUUCGGUGAUCGAAUAUUAUGGUUCAUGCUCAUUGGUGAAUGUUAGCCUGAAAAAAUAUCGACAAUUCAAAACGCGUUUUCGUAGAACCUGGAUUGCGAUGAGAAAUCUUGUGAACAAGUUUGUAGCAGAAUAUGUUUUAGUUCCUUAGCACAGUUUCAUGAACGUGUGCGACAAACAAAGAAUAGAGAGUUGAGGAAUUUCUGUGAUGUGUCUUUCCCAACACUUGUGCCUUUAUUUAUAGUAAACUGGAUAGGAUUUCUUGCCUUGCAAGUAAUACACUCAUAAAGGGAUAAGAUUUUCUAGUGUCCUAAAUACAAUCCACUAAUGAUUUACACAAUCACACACAUGUUGGAAUUUAUGUCACAAUAGCUAAAACAAUUAUAUUUCGACACAAAACUAAUGCACUUGUUGACACACUCUCUAGUUGAGGUAGACCAAACCUUUGUAUGUAAAACCCACUUAUGUUAGAAAGUAUAUCAAAUGUAUCAAUUUUAUGAGUCUAUUUUUUUUUUAAAAGAAUAGCAUUACUCUAAAUAAAAAAAGAACCCCUUGUAAUUUUGGCUUUAGGUCUCAUUCUGCGUUGGACCGACACUCGUAUGGAAUUACAAAUUUUCAUUCACAAGUCAAAGUACAAAAAGGAGAGAGAAAUGUAGAGUAAAUUACACAACUAUUUUAUAUCCAACUAAUAAUAUUAUUACAAGCUGAUAAGCACGAUGAUCAGAUUCUGAGGGACAACUCGGUGGUAUACAUUAAUCACCGGCGACUUUCGCAGGGUCAAUCCUUAUUGGAUGGCCCCGGAAGUCCUGCCUAUUGGAAAUAAAAUAAAGUAAAACGAAAAGAAGAUGCAUAUACAUAUAUGCAAGCGGCGAUACAUAUAUAAAAGAUCACUAGCUAGGAGCUUGAUAGAUUCAUGAUUUCCUUGCCUUCUGCACGAAGAUAUACAACUGAUGAAGCUAAUUGGGUCGACCAUGCUUCCUGGUACCAAAUUCAGUAAUCACCACUCCGCCGUAGAGCUCGGCCGCCUCGGUGCUAGUGAGAAUAGCAGUGCCCGUUUUUCUAUGAACAUUAUUAACAGGCCUUUGCAUCAGAGUCCGACUCUGCUGAUCGUGAUGAGCUUCGUUGUAAUUGGCCAUCCUGUGGAUCUUGGCUUGUGGAUAAAAAUGUUGUCCUUGAUGAAAAGGAGGAGGAAGAGGAGGUCUAGUAGUAGUGGUGAUCAUCUUCUGCGGCCAGCUACAGUAAUACUCGUCAGCUGCCACGUUCGUGCUAUUGUUGUAAAGCACGCCGUGGCAGUCCUCUAUGAUGGUGUGGUGUUCGGAUGCAAUUGGGGCGGCUACCUUCCGGUGAACAACAAAGCGUUCAUAAACAGCCAUUGCUAACUUAAUUACAAUGAGUUAAUUAAGGGGAGCUAUCUAGCUUGGUUUGCUUUGUGCUUGUCUUAUCGAAAAAAUUAGGAGGAGCCAAGCCACAUUAUAUAGGAGUCCUAUAAAGCUUCACAAGUGGGCUUUCUGAUCAGGUUCUUGCGAUUCUCCAUUAUCCUUCCUUUUCUAGUAGGAGAAUAUUAUUGAAACGAAUCUUGCCUAAAAUCCUUUCUACUAUGACCCAGAAAUUAUGUUAAAACGUACGUUUACUUGUACUAGUUCUUGAGAUUAUUCAUCAAUAUAUGGCUAGAUACUACUUCGUUAGCGUUUCACACAUAUAACUAAAGGUUGCGUAGCUUACUUUUCCUAGUGCAUUAUUUACAGAAUUUAGGUACUUCUAACAAAAGUGGUUUUACCUAUACCUCUUCUAAGCAAAAACAAUAAUUUAAUCAUGCUCCAAGGUAUCUUGUAUUGUAGAGUUUUUAGUCAUUAGAUCUUGGUUAUUGUAUGCUAUUUCUACCAUCUAAUAGAGGUUGAUUUCACCUAUAUAUCUAUGUAGAACCGAUUAGAGGGGUAAUCAAUGUAAUUAGUAAAGAUGGUACAAACAACAACAAAGUUUUAUUCCAGUAAGUGGGGUUCGCUAUAUGAAUCUUAGAUCAACAUCACUGUGCUGGGUUUUGCUUCAUGUUUUAUGUUAGCUCUAAGUACUCCAUGCUUUUUUUUUAAGUUUUUCCAAGUCUUCAUCUACUCCUUUUGCUCCGAGUCUCCAUUUGAUAAUCGCAUUUUUAACUGGAACAUUUGUAGGAAAGAUGGUACAAACAACAACACUAUUAGUUUUCAUUUUCUAUUUCCUACUCUGACUAAUACACGUUGUUGAUAAUGAGGUUUUUCUUUAUAUAGUUCCUAAAUCAAAUUAAAUCGAUUAAAGAUGAAUUCGGGUCUUGAUAAGCAAUAUUCUGAUAAGGUUUGGACAAGAGUUACAUUAUUUUAUGUCUACCACAGAAUACAUAAUGUUAUAUAAUAACAUACACAGGUUAGAAUUUUUUUCCCCUCCAUAAUUUUUGAUAGUUUUGGAACUAUAUAUGCAUUAGAUUAUUUACUGGAUUCAAGCGCAUGAGCCUCUCAUGAUACUCGGAACCCUUCUGGGACACUAUAUCCUUUCACUGACUGUAUGGAUAAUAACCAAUAAGUUAAUAGAGAUAGCUGCCGUUUGAAAGAAAACACUGAUAUAUAUUGGUAUCGAUCGGUAUAACACAACAGGUUUUGGAUCAAUCUUAUGAGAUAUUAUUAAACUUUUAUCGUUUCUGCAGGGAUCUUAAUUUCAAAAUAAUUGAAUAAUUUGGUUUUCUUUUUCUUGGAUUUAAGUUUUUAACUUCUCAAAAAAUCUGCUCUAGACUGAAAAGCUACAUAAUGUACUAGUACAUUAUAAUAUGAGUUGAUUGAUGGUAUCACGUGAUCAUCACGUCACACUAAAAGGUUUACUCUGGACUGAAGAAGGUAGCAAAAUUAAGCAAGUUAACCUGGACUAUCUAGUGGACAAAAAAAAAUAAAAAAUAAAAGAGUAUCUAGUACCGAAGAAAGAAAUUUAAUGUAUCAGAAGAAAUAAGUUUGGUAUGUAUGCAUGCUUACGAUGGUAAAUCUUACGUAACCAAAUUAUUCUUAUUUAUCUUCCGAAAGACAAGGUCUGCGCUUAAUAUCUUCUUGGUAAUAUUCUUGAUCAUAUUUGCCUUACAUUACGAGUAGUGGAGGAAUCAUUUGCCUCUAGCUUGCCAUUUUUGUAGAUAUAAAGUUUGUAAAAUCGAUCGAUCGAUUCCAUUUCCUUAAAAAAAUGGCAUAUCCUUUUGGCAUCUCUUUCGUUUCAUAUUUUGCUUUUAUUUUUAUUUUUAUCAAAGCCAGAUAACACAAGCAUCCCUGUUAGAAAAAGGUAGAAGGACGUUCCUUAGGGAAAAUGGGAAGGUAUUAAUUCCUUGGGUAAAUUACAUUUUAUCCUUUCAAGUUUGGGCGAAAUUACAACAUCAUAUAACAUCUUUAAAAUAUUUCAAUUCCAUACAUUUACUAUCAUUUUAUUUCAAUAUUAUAUAUACAUUCCGUUAGAUGUGUGGGCACAUGAGAAAUGAUAGGAUUAAGAAUGAGGAUAUCUUAGGCAAAGCAGGAGUGAUCACAAUUGAAGAUAAGAUGAGAAAAAAUCGGAUAAAAUGGUUUGAACACGUGAACCGAAGACCUACAAAUGAUCCGGUUAGAAGAUACGACUAUGAGCUGGGUAAAAUAGGUCGAGGAAGACCUAGGAAGACUUUAAAUGAGAGUAUCAAUAAAAUAUGGAGUACUUGGAGCUAACGGAAGACUUGGCACAAAACCGAACGCAAUGAUGUUCUGGGAUUCAUAGGGUUGAUUGUUGUUGUACUUCAAAUCAGUAUCUUUUAAGACGAUGAUCGUUAUGUUUUCAGAAAGAAAGAAAAAAAAACCUAAAAUCACAUUUAAAGUUGCCUACCUCAAACGCUAGCGUCGCUAAGAAAUCAAAUUUGGAACAAAAUAUAAAAAACAACGAAACUCCAAAAGACCCUCAAAACUUAAAAUGCCGUUUUGAUGUAACAAACGAGUCUUUCCAUUCUCUUUUGACAUGGCAUAUUGUGAGCUCAAUCGGAGCUCAAAGAUCAUGGUGGAUUUUGUUGUUUCUGAAAUUACUCCUGUCUCAACCAAUUUUCCUACUUCACUAGAUUACUUGCAGAAAUAGAAUAUAUUAACAAUAUGUGGUUAUUCUCACUUGUACGUAAGACAUUGAUCAUAUAAUCAUAUGAAUCUCAUUUUCGUAAGAGAUGUGGUCAAUCCAAAAUGCAGAUACAAGAGGCCAAGGUCCUCACCACAUUCAUAUAAAUGGAGUGUUGUCAGGAAUGCAGCACAUCACCAUUGGAAAACACCAUUGUGAAAAAAGAAAAGGAAAAAGGAAUGUGAAACAAACAGUAUAUUUUGCCCACUACCUCUGAAGUUUAGAAGAUUUUGAUUUUAUAUAUAACAAGAGAAAGUACUACGCAUAAGGGGGUACGUAGCUUUAUAUCUACAUAUUACAAGCGGAAUAUAUGCAUCGUUAAGCACAGAUAAAUUAAGCUCUAUAGCUUAAUACACAUAGAGCUUUAUUUAAUUAGCUAGCUACUACUCAUUACUUAUACCAAACUAAUUAAGUAUGUUACGUAUUAGCUGGGCUAUUAGCCGCGAUUCUUGGGAUAGUCUCUAAUCUCUAUCCCCCCAAAUAAGAGGGCUGCAUCCUUGCUAUUAAGAACGGGCUGAUCUGUUAUAAAAGGAGGUUGUUUCCCUCCACGAGCUUGCUGAUGAUCUUGAAUAAACGGAGGCCUCGUAUGGCUCCUCCCGGUUGGCCGGCCAUAGAACUUGUCUAUCAUAGCAAAAGCCUCCACUCCAAGCCGUGCUAGCUCUUCCUGCGUCGCCAUGAUAAAAUUGCUAAGUUUACAAGAACAAAAGAAAAAUACAGACGCACAAAUAGGGUAUUCAGGUAAAUUGGUUUGCCUUUGUUUGCUGGUUAAAAGGUUAGCGGCCAAGCCCCAUUAUAUAGGAAUAGGAGUUAAAAAGGUGAUCGCUUCAUGGAGGGCCUUAAUAUCUUAGAAUGGAUAAUAUUUGGAUAACGCGAUUCAAAAAUCUUUUCUUUGAUUCUUUCCAAAAAAGUCUUCCCACUUUUGGUGAUUCAUUUGAAUUAAAGACAUUUGGAAUAAAUCUUUGAUUUGGGGGCUUGCUUAAGUUGGAAAUCCAUGUAAUUAAUUAACUAAUGUUGCAAGUUAGAAAAGUGCCUUAUAAAGUACACAGGGCACUAUUGAUGCAUGGUAGGUUCUUUGGUGCUAAUUAAGAGUUUCAUGGCAAGUUGGUCCAAAACACAUUAAUUAAUGAAAGAUAGGAAUAACGAUCAAAUGGUGGAACUUGGGAGGUGAAGAUAUUAUCUUUAUCUUCCUGAAGAGAUUGAAAGGAAUCUAUAUAUGGUUUACCACUUUAUCUCGUUUUCCUUGGGUGGCUUGAGGAUAUUGGUACACAUUUUCCAGAAGUAGUUCCAAUUUACGGAAAUAUGAAGCAUUGUUGAAACAUAUCUAGCGUUCCUUAAUUUCCAUCCAUAAUUAAAUGAUAAAUAUCACAGCUUUAACAAAGCAAAUCUAUUUGUACUAUACUUUACCAAUCUCGAAACUAUCAAACAAGGGUGAACUUUAUACCUUUAGGGACCCACUAAAGGAUUCGUGGUGAGGCACCCAUGCCGAAGCACAAGAGUUUCUCUCCAACCAGGAAGCCAAUCACAAUACAACACAUGUCAACAUUAGAAUAAAGCUCCUAGAGUCCACAUCGACCACGAACGGAAUCUGGAGACUCUCCUCAAUUAUAAAAAGAGACUAUUCUCCUACCAUUAAUCCUUAAUGUCAUUAUUAUACUUAAACUCGUCAUUAGGACUCACUAAUGAUGAUUAUGCUUGAACCUAUGUAUUGUGUAAACUCUUCACUAUUAAUGAGAACUCCUCUACUUUCGUGGACAUAGCCCAACUUAGGGUGAACUACGUACAUCUUGUGUUUGUUUUCCUAUCUCUAUUUCUAUCUCUUUACAUAUUAUCCUCACUAGGUGACCCAAGCAAUCAUUGCGAAUGUCACAAACUUAACACUUUACGUUAUUCCAAAAUCUCACUGAUUUUGUGCAUCAACAAAAUCCAUAUAUAACAAGGGUCCUCAAAGAUUACAAAGGAAAGACCCUUCAUUAUGUUAGGGAAUUCUACCCCCAACAAAUUAAAUGAGUGAGCAUCUCCAGGAAUCCAAGGGUAGUAAUGGUUAGCAAAUUUAGAUUUGUUAUGUUAUGUCGAACAACUUUAUCUCCAACAAAAGUAGCAACUGAAUUAGCAAAUUGAAGACAAAUUUUCAUCAAAAGUAUUGUUUAGUAGAGAAUUGAAAAAUUAAAAUUUUGGCUCUACAAGAUAUGAUAAACUUAGGAUGGUAUUAUUUUUUAAGGUGAAAAAAUAAAUUUGAAGAGUUGCCAUAAUUGAAGAUAAGAUGAGAGAAAAUCAGUUAAAUUACUUUGGACACGUGAACCCAAGACCUACAAAUGCUCCAGAUAGAAUAGGCGACUAUGAGACUGAGGCUUAAGGCAAAAGGGGUAGAGGAAGGCUCGGAAAAAGAUUUUAAGAAAAUACAUGGAGUACUUGGAGCUAACAGAAGACAUGACAUGACGCAAAACCGAACACAAUAGCGUUCUAGGAUUCAUACAACCAACCUCACUUAGUGAUAAGGCUUGGUUGUUGUUGUGGUUGAAGAGUGGGUUGGAGUGACAAACUUUAAAGUACGUAGAAUAAAAUUGCCACAUAAGUUCGCAAAAUGACACUCUUAUUGGAUAUUGUCAUAGAUUGAAAUAAAUUUCUUUUAGACUUUCAUUUCGCGUUUUCAUUUUCCAAUGUUGCACUAUGAUCCGAACCAUUUAUUUUUUGGUCAUCCUUUAAGGUCAUCUCUAUACAAAUGAACUAAAUCUUUAAAAAAAAUUAUAAAAAAAAAAGUUAUCUAAUGGUUAUAAAAUCAAUGAACGAACCAUGUUUUUUAGUUAAACAUUGAAACUAGGAGUUAAGAGUUUAGGGAUCAAACAGUUAAAUGAUUUCUAAUUUGGUUGAUUUUUUAUAAAUUAGUUAAUCUUAAGGGGUGGCCUAGAAAUAUAUAGUUAUGUUUAUAAGAGAACAUUGCAUUCGUAAAAAGAAAUUAAAAGUAGAAAAAGAAGUUCAAAAGCAUACACCUUCAUCGCUCAAUGUUAGGAAAAAAAGGGUAAAAGUCUUGGUUUGGCGCCAAAAUCUUCCAAAAUCUUGCGCGACGCAUAGGCCAGCAUACACCUUCAUCGCUCAAUGUUAGGAAAAAAAGGGUAAAAGUCUUGGUUUGGCGCCAAAAUCUUGUGCGACGCACGCGGCCUGUGCGUCGUGCAAACGUCCUUUGCGCGACAAAGGUGUGCAUUCAUUGCUCAAAAUAGCUUUGCACGACGAAGGCAAAGCUAUUUUGCGCAUCAAAUGCACACCUUCGUCGCACAAAGUCAACAACUUUGUGAUAUAACAUAAGAUUUUGUGGUACCACUUGUGUAAAUAUUUUAAAUUGACGAUCGAAUUAGUUCAUUGUAAUCAUAUACGAUCAAGGAGUGUAGCUGUAAAAAAUCAUCAAAAUCAGAGUUAAAAUAACCGUUAAAUCGUGAUUUUUUGUUUAUAACCGUAAAAAAGUUUUGUCCCAUUACUUGAUCUCUGAAUGUUUGUUUUUUGUGAUUUUUGGCGUAUGCAAUCUCGAAGCAUAUACAAACAAGUUUGACGGUUGGAUCGUUGAAGCUAAUUUCAUAGAAUGGUAUUCCAUCAAAACGAUAGAUUCACUAACACUUGGAGUUUAUGUAUAACAUAAGAUUUUGUGGUAUCCACUUGUGCAAAUAUUUUAAAUUGACGAUCGAAUUAGUUCAUUGUAUUCAUAUAAGAUCAAGGAGUGUGGCUGUAAAAAAAUCAUCAAAAUCGGAGUUAAAAUAACCGUUAAAUCGUGAAUUUUCGUUUAAAACCGUCGAAAAGUUUUGUCCAGUUACUUGAUCUCUGAAUUUUUUUUUUUUUUGCGAUUUUAGUGUAUGCAAUCUCAAAGUAUAUGAAAAUAAGUUUGACGGUUGGAUUGUUGAAAUUAAUUUUGUAGGAUGCGUAUCCCAUCAAAACGAUAGAUUCACUAACACUUAGAGUUUAUUUAUACUUUUCAUUAAGUAUAACGUAAGAUUUUGUGGUAUCCGCUAAUGUAAAUAUUUUAAAUUGAAGAUUGAAUUCAUUCAUUGUAUUCAUAUAGGAUCAAGGAGUGUAGCUGUAAAAAAUCAUCAAAAUCGGAGUUAAAACUACCGUUAAAUCGUAAAUUUUCGUUUAUAACCGUCAAGUUCAAUGAUAUAUAUAUUUAUUUAUUAAGUAUCUUUAAAUUUAUUUAUUUUGUUAUAACACUUAAGAAAUUGAAUGGUAUAUAUAUUUAUUAAGUAGCUUUAAAUUUAUUAUUGCAGUUCGGAUCAGGUUUUUGUUAGAAAAAUAUAUUAUUGUGUUUUAUGUAAAAAAAAAAAUUUUGAAAGGAGUAAAGUCACAUUUUCAGUAAAUUUUAUAAUAUUUAAAAAAAAAACUUGCGCAACAUGACAAUUGGGUCGUUGCGCAAACACACUUUGAGCGACGCACCACCAAUGCGUUACGCAAAGACUGUUUGCGCGACGCACCAACCAAUGCAUCACACAAAGGUUGUUUGUGCGACAAACAAAUUGCGUCACACAAAGGGUUUUUGUGGUCCACUUCUGUAAAUAUUUUAAAUUGCCAAUCAAAUUAGUUCAUUGUAUUCAUAUAGGAUCAAUGAGUAUAGCUGUAAAAAAAUCAUCAAAAUCGAAGUUAAAUCUACCGUUAAAUCGUGAUUUUUUUUUUAUAACCAUAAAAAAGUUUUGUCCCGUUACUUGAUCUCUAAAUGUUUGUUUGUUGCGAUUUUUGGCGUAUGCGAUUUCGAAGUAUAUACAAACAAGUUAGACAGUUCAAUUGUUUAAACUAGUUUCGUAGAAUACGUAUCUCAUCAAAACAAUAGAUUCACUAACACUUGGAGUUUAUUUAUACUUUCAUUAAGUAUAACAUAAGAUUUUGUAGUAUCCACUUGUGUAAAUAUUUUAAAUCGAAGAUCGAAUUCAUUCACUGUAUUCAUAUAGGGUCAAGGAGUGUAGCUGUAAAAAAAUCAUCAAAAUCGGAGUUAAAAUAACCGUUAAAUCGUGAUUUUUCAUUUAUAACCGUUGAAAAGUUUUGUCUCGUUAGUUGAUCUCUGAAUGUUUGUUUUUUGCAAUUUUUUGCGUAUGCUAUCUCGAAGUAAAUACAAACAAGUUUGACAGUUGGAUCGUUGAAACUAGUUUCGUAAAAUGUGUAUCCCAUCAAAACAAUAGAUUUACUAACAUUUGGAGUUUAUUUAUACUUUCAUUAAGUAUAACAUAAGCUUUUGUGGUAUCCAAUAGUGUAAAUAUUUUAAAUUGAAGAUCGAAUUCAUUCAUUGUAUUCACAUAAGAUCAAGGAGUGUAGCUAUAAAAAAAAUCAUCCAAAUCGGAGUCAAAAUAACCGUUAGAUCGUGAAUUUUCAUUUAUAACCGUCGAAAAGUUUUGUCCCAUUACUUGAUCUCUUAAUGUUUGUUUUUUACGUAUGCGAUCUCAAAGUAUAUACAAACAAGUUUGACGGCUGGAUCGUUGAAACUAGUUUCGUAGAUUGCGUAUCCCAUCAAAAUGAUAUAUAUAUUUAUUAAGUAGUUUUAAAUUUAUUUGUUUUGUACGUAUAACACUUAAGAAAUUGAAUGAUAUGUCUAUUUAUUAAUGUCAUGUGUUAUGAUUUAGUUCCUUAAAACUUACUCCUCAUAUAUUCUGUAUACUGCUCCUUUUUAUAGGCACAAGUAGGCAGAAGACAUCAACUGACUUUAAAAAAGAAGUUAAGAACUUGAGAUUGGCCUUUAUCGAUAUGUUUUUGAAGCACAGAACAUUGGCAAGGGAACUGCAGAGCCACCGUGACUUGGAUGCAAAGAAUAAAGCUGAGCUUAAACGUUUGAAAGGUAAAUUUUUUACACCUAUUGUGUUAUACAGCUUUUUACCAACCUGUGAGAUAAUUUGCCAAAUACUUUCUUAACAUUUCUCCUUGUUUGCUCUAUCUUUCUUUAUAUAUAUAUAUAUAUAUAUAUAUAUAUAAUUUUGCAUUGAUUAUUAAUGUUGUCCUUCGUGGGUAGUCUGUCUCUCCAGGAUGUAAGAGUCUAAUAAUCCACCUUGGUUGGUAUCUUCUCCUCCCCGCAAUGAGAGUUUCUCUCUCUAUGAGCGUUCUAGAUUGUUCUUUUCUUAAGGUGCAGUAUUCUCCGUCUUUUCUUGCACUUAUUUCUUUCUCCAAGAAGCAGCAUCGCAGCUUCUCUCGGAGAUCCCGAUCGAGGACGUCACUGUACCCAAGGAUGCAGGUCUUCAGAUCCUGACUGAGAUCCUAGAUCAGAAGCUCGGUCGUCGUCAUGGCAAGGUUGUUCGGGGUAUGGGGAAGGUGCGGGUUCGUGAGACGGGUGCCUCCUCUUCCAGACCAACCACAGGACAGGUCAUUGCCUAGACGGAGGAAGUGGAAACUCUAAAAGGUAAGAUUGCGAUCUAGGAAGCCCAGAUUGCAACCUAGUUUUUGGCUCAGGACGAGAAGAUGAGUAUGAUCUUACAGGCUUUACAGAUGUCCGGCCUCCAAAUCCCGAUGCCAGCACCUGAUCUUGCUCCACCUUUGACCUCCCAGCCACUUCGCUCAGCCAAUACCCAGUAGCCUAAUGCAUCAAACCUAGACGACUACUUCUUGUAGUUUUUUCUUUUAUGUUCGGACAUCUUGUAUGUACAUUUUCAUAUAUUUUAUAAUUAAAUAUUUUUUCUUAGUUUAUUAAUUAUUGUUUAUAAUUUAAUUAAAAUAUUUAUAAAAAAUUAAUUAAAAAAUAUUUUGUCAAAAAAGAGAAAAAAAAAAGAGUUUGCGCGAUGAAUGUGUAACCUGCGUCGCACAA
RNAcentral lists this long non-coding RNA (24671 nucleotides) under Malus domestica (apple). RNAcentral describes it as "long non-coding RNA (MDOM_LNC011953)". Lineage: Eukaryota; Viridiplantae; Streptophyta; Magnoliopsida; Rosales; Rosaceae. The record is from RNAcentral.